RNAcentral lists this ribosomal RNA (1451 nucleotides) under Lactiplantibacillus plantarum. RNAcentral's name for it is "bacterial SSU rRNA". It matches the Rfam family "Bacterial small subunit ribosomal RNA". The record is from RNAcentral. Lineage: Bacteria; Bacillati; Bacillota; Bacilli; Lactobacillales; Lactobacillaceae.
AGGUGUCGAUGGCGCGAACGAACUGCUGUGUAUUGAUUGGUGCUUGCAUCAUGAUUUACAUUUGAGUGAGUGGCGAACUGGUGAGUAACACGUGGGAAACCUGCCCAGAAGCGGGGGAUAACACCUGGAAACAGAUGCUAAUACCGCAUAACAACUUGGACCGCAUGGUCCGAGUUUGAAAGAUGGCUUCGGCUAUCACUUUUGGAUGGUCCCGCGGCGUAUUAGCUAGAUGGUGAGGUAACGGCUCACCAUGGCAAUGAUACGUAGCCGACCUGAGAGGGUAAUCGGCCACAUUGGGACUGAGACACGGCCCAAACUCCUACGGGAGGCAGCAGUAGGGAAUCUUCCACAAUGGACGAAAGUCUGAUGGAGCAACGCCGCGUGAGUGAAGAAGGGUUUCGGCUCGUAAAACUCUGUUGUUAAAGAAGAACAUAUCUGAGAGUAACUGUUCAGGUAUUGACGGUAUUUAACCAGAAAGCCACGGCUAACUACGUGCCAGCAGCCGCGGUAAUACGUAGGUGGCAAGCGUUGUCCGGAUUUAUUGGGCGUAAAGCGAGCGCAGGCGGUUUUUUAAGUCUGAUGUGAAAGCCUUCGGCUCAACCGAAGAAGUGCAUCGGAAACUGGGAAACUUGAGUGCAGAAGAGGACAGUGGAACUCCAUGUGUAGCGGUGAAAUGCGUAGAUAUAUGGAAGAACACCAGUGGCGAAGGCGGCUGUCUGGUCUGUAACUGACGCUGAGGCUCGAAAGUAUGGGUAGCAAACAGGAUUAGAUACCCUGGUAGUCCAUACCGUAAACGAUGAAUGCUAAGUGUGGAGGGUUUCCGCCCUUCAGUGCUGCAGCUAACGCAUUAAGCAUUCCGCCUGGGGAGUACGGCCGCAAGGCUGAAACUCAAAGGAAUUGACGGGGGCCCGCACAAGCGGUGGAGCAUGUGGUUUAAUUCGAAGCUACGCGAAGAACCUUACCAGGUCUUGACAUACUAUGCAAAUCUAAGAGAUUAGACGUUCCCUUCGGGGACAUGGAUACAGGUGGUGCAUGGUUGUCGUCAGCUCGUGUCGUGAGAUGUUGGGUUAAGUCCCGCAACGAGCGCAACCCUUAUUAUCAGUUGCCAGCAUUAAGUUGGGCACUCUGGUGAGACUGCCGGUGACAAACCGGAGGAAGGUGGGGAUGACGUCAAAUCAUCAUGCCCCUUAUGACCUGGGCUACACACGUGCUACAAUGGAUGGUACAACGAGUUGCGAACUCGCGAGAGUAAGCUAAUCUCUUAAAGCCAUUCUCAGUUCGGAUUGUAGGCUGCAACUCGCCUACAUGAAGUCGGAAUCGCUAGUAAUCGCGGAUCAGCAUGCCGCGGUGAAUACGUUCCCGGGCCUUGUACACACCGCCCGUCACACCAUGAGAGUUUGUAACAGCCAAAGUCGGUGGGGUAACCUAUUAGGAACACAGCCCGCCUAAUG